AUGAACGCUGGCGGCGUGCCUAAUACAUGCAAGUCGAGCGAACGGACGAGAAGCUUGCUUCUCUGAUGUUAGCGGCGGACGGGUGAGUAACACGUGGAUAACCUACCUAUAAGACUGGGAUAACUUCGGGAAACCGGAGCUAAUACCGGAUAAUAUUUUGAACCGCAUGGUUCAAAAGUGAAAGACGGUCUUGCUGUCACUUAUAGAUGGAUCCGCGCUGCAUUAGCUAGUUGGUAAGGUAACGGCAUACCAAGGCAACGAUGCAUAGCCGACCUGAGAGGGUGAUCGGCCACACUGGAACUGAGACACGGUCCAGACUCCUACGGGAGGCAGCAGUAGGGAAUCUUCCGCAAUGGGCGAAAGCCUGACGGAGCAACGCCGCGUGAGUGAUGAAGGUCUUCGGAUCGUAAAACUCUGUUAUUAGGGAAGAACAUAUGUGUAAGUAACUGUGCACAUCUUGACGGUACCUAAUCAGAAAGCCACGGCUAACUACGUG
This 496-nucleotide ribosomal RNA is filed under the name uncultured bacterium. RNAcentral's name for it is "partial 16S ribosomal RNA". It matches the Rfam family "Bacterial small subunit ribosomal RNA", at positions 29 to 507 of the family's 1533-position model. The record is from RNAcentral.